CCGUGAAGAAAUGAUUCCGCUCCGAGAUGGUCUCGCGGCCUAUCAGCUUGUUGGUGAGGUAACGGCUCACCAAGGCUUCGACGGGUAGUUGGUCUGAGAGGACGGCCAACCACACUGGGACUGAGACACGGCCCAGACUCCUACGGGAGGCAGCAGUAGGGAAUCUUGCUCAAUGGGCGAAAGCCUGAAGCAGCGACGCCGCGUGCGGGAUGAAGGCCCUCGGGUCGUAAACCGCUUUCAGCAGGAACGAAAUUGACGGUACCUGCAGAAGAAGCACCGGCCAACUACGUGCCAGCAGCCGCGGUAAUACGUAGGGUGCAAGCGUUGUCCGGAUUCAUUGGGCGUAAAGAGCUCGUAGGCGGUUCAGUAAGUCGGGUGUGAAAUCUCCGUGCUCAACACGGAGCGGCCACCCGAUACUGCUGUGACUAGAGUCCGGUAGGGGAGUGUGGAAUUCCUGGUGUAGCGGUGAAAUGCGCAGAUAUCAGGAGGAACACCAGUGGCGAAGGCGGCACUCUGGGCCGUGACUGACGCUGAGGAGCGAAAGCGUGGGUAGCAAACAGGAUUAGAUACCCUGGUAGUCCACGCCGUAAACGUUGGGCACUAGGUGUGGGUCUCUAUCGACGGGAUCCGUGCCGUAGCUAACGCAUUAAGUGCCC
RNAcentral lists this ribosomal RNA (656 nucleotides) under uncultured bacterium. RNAcentral's name for it is "bacterial SSU rRNA". It matches the Rfam family "Bacterial small subunit ribosomal RNA", at positions 199 to 869 of the family's 1533-position model. The record is from RNAcentral.